GAUGAACGCUGGCGGCGUGCCUAAUACAUGCAAGUCGAGCGAACGGACGAGAAGCUUGCUUCUCUGAUGUUAGCGGCGGACGGGUGAGUAACACGUGGAUAACCUACCUAUAAGACUGGGAUAACUUCGGGAAACCGGAGCUAAUACCGGAUAAUAUUUUGAACCGCAUGGUUCAAAAGUGAAAGACGGUCUUGAUGUCACUUAUAGAUGGAUCCGCGCUGCAUUAGCUAGUUGGUAAGGUAACGGCUUACCAAGGCAACGAUGCAUAGCCGACCUGAGAGGGUGAUCGGCCACACUGGAACUGAGACACGGUCCAGACUCCUACGGGAGGCAGCAGUGGGGAAUCUUCCGCAAUGGGCGAAAGCCUGACGGAGCAACGCCGCGUGAGUGAUGAAGGUCUUCGGAUCGUAAAACUCUGUUAUUAGGGAAGAACAUAUGUGUAAGUAACUGUGCACAUCUUGACGGUACCUAAUCAGAAAGCCACGGCUAACUACGUG
Molecule: ribosomal RNA, 497 nt
Filed under: uncultured bacterium
Lineage: Bacteria
Description: partial 16S ribosomal RNA
Rfam family: Bacterial small subunit ribosomal RNA
Source: RNAcentral